This 732-nucleotide ribosomal RNA is filed under the name Bacillus subtilis. RNAcentral's name for it is "bacterial SSU rRNA". It matches the Rfam family "Bacterial small subunit ribosomal RNA", at positions 554 to 1287 of the family's 1533-position model. The record is from RNAcentral. Lineage: Bacteria; Bacillati; Bacillota; Bacilli; Caryophanales; Bacillaceae.
UUGGGCGUAAGGGCUCGCAGGCGGUUUCUUAAGUCUGAUGUGAAAGCCCCCGGCUCAACCGGGGAGGGUCAUUGGAAACUGGGGAACUUGAGUGCAGAAGAGGAGAGUGGAAUUCCACGUGUAGCGGUGAAAUGCGUAGAGAUGUGGAGGAACACCAGUGGCGAAGGCGACUCUCUGGUCUGUAACUGACGCUGAGGAGCGAAAGCGUGGGGAGCGAACAGGAUUAGAUACCCUGGUAGUCCACGCCGUAAACGAUGAGUGCUAAGUGUUAGGGGGUUUCCGCCCCUUAGUGCUGCAGCUAACGCAUUAAGCACUCCGCCUGGGGAGUACGGUCGCAAGACUGAAACUCAAAGGAAUUGACGGGGGCCCGCACAAGCGGUGGAGCAUGUGGUUUAAUUCGAAGCAACGCGAAGAACCUUACCAGGUCUUGACAUCCUCUGACGAUCCUAGAGAUAGGACGUCCCCUUCGGGGGCACAGUGACAGGUGGUGCAUGGUUGUCGUCAGCUCGUGUCGUGAGAUGUUGGGUUAAGUCCCGCAACGAGCGCAACCCUUGAUCUUAGUUGCCAGCAUUCAGUUGGGCACUCUAAGGUGACUGCCGGUGACAAACCGGAGGAAGGUGGGGAUGACGUCAAAUCAUCAUGCCCCUUAUGACCUGGGCUACACACGUGCUACAAUGGACAGAACACAGGGCAGCGAAACCGCGAGGUUAAGCCAAUCCCACAAAUCUGUUC